GCAAGAGGAGCCCGAUGACAGGUGCUGCAUGGCUGUCGUCAGCUCGUGUCGUGAGAUGUUGGGUUAAGUCCCGCAACGAGCGCAACCCUUGUCUUUAGUUGCCAUCAUUAAGUUGGGCACUCUAAAGAGACUGCCGUGGACAACACGGAGGAAGGUGGGGAUGACGUCAAAUCAUCAUGCCCCUUAUGAUCUGGGCUACACACGUGCUACAAUGGCCGGUACAACGGGCAGCGAAGGAGCGAUCCGGAGCGAAUCCUAAAAAGCCGGUCCCAGUUCGGAUUGCAGGCUGAAACUCGCCUACAUGAAGUUGGAGUUGCUAGUAAUCGCGAAUCAGAAUGUCGCGGUGAAUGCGUUCCCGGGUCUU
Molecule: ribosomal RNA, 364 nt
Filed under: uncultured Fusibacter sp.
Lineage: Bacteria; Bacillati; Bacillota; Clostridia; Eubacteriales; Fusibacteraceae
Description: partial 16S ribosomal RNA
Rfam family: Bacterial small subunit ribosomal RNA
Source: RNAcentral